GAUGAAGAACGCAGCGAAAUGCGAUAAGUAAUGUGAAUUGCAGAAUUCAGUGAAUCAUCGAAUCUUUGAACGCAGCUUGCGCUCUCUGGUAUUCCGGAGAGCAUGCCUGUUUCAGUGUCAUGAAAUCUCAACCACUAGGGUUUCCUAAUGGAUUGGAUUUGGGCGUCUGCGAUCUCUGAUCGCUCGCCUUAAAAGAGUUAGCAAGUUUGACAUUAAUGUCUGGUGUAAUAAGUUUCACUGGGUCCAUUGUGUUGAAGCGUGCUUCUAAUCGUCCGCAAGGACAAUUACUUUGACUCUGGCCUGAAAUCAGGUAGGACUACCCGCUGAACUUAAGCAUAUCAAUAAGCGGAGGA
RNAcentral lists this unclassified non-coding RNA (353 nucleotides) under soil metagenome. Its description in RNAcentral is "partial contains 5.8S ribosomal RNA, internal transcribed spacer 2, and large subunit ribosomal RNA". The stretch from base 1 to 120 matches the Rfam family "5.8S ribosomal RNA", at positions 35 to 154 of the family's 154-position model. The record is from RNAcentral.